Molecule: ribosomal RNA, 491 nt
Filed under: uncultured bacterium
Lineage: Bacteria
Description: partial 16S ribosomal RNA
Rfam family: Bacterial small subunit ribosomal RNA
Source: RNAcentral
AGUGAACGCUGGCGGUAGGCCUAACACAUGCAAGUCGAACGGCAGCACAGUAAGAGCUUGCUCUUACGGGUGGCGAGUGGCGGACGGGUGAGGAAUACAUCGGAAUCUACUUUUUCGUGGGGGAUAACGUAGGGAAACUUACGCUAAUACCGCAUACGACCUACGGGUGAAAGCAGGGGAUCUUCGGACCUUGCGCGAUUGAAUGAGCCGAUGUCGGAUUAGCUAGUUGGCGGGGUAAAGGCCCACCAAGGCGACGAUCCGUAGCUGGUCUGAGAGGAUGAUCAGCCAAACUGGAACUGAGACACGGUCCAGACUCCUACGGGAGGCAGAAGUGGGGAAUAUUGGAAAAUGGGCGCAAGCCUGAUCCAGCCAUACUGCGUGGGUGAAGAAGGCCUUCGGGUUGUAAAGCCCUUUUGUUGGGAAAGAAAAGCAGCAGGUUAAUACCCCGCUGUUCUGACGGUACCCAAAGAAUAAACACCGGCUAACUUCGU